GAUGAACGCUGGCGGCGUGCAUAACACAUGCAAGUCGAACGGGGAAACUUAAAUUUUUUCUUCGGGGUGGGCUUAAGGGGGUAAGUGGGGGUCGGGUGAGUAACACGUGAGUAACCUGCCUUACACAAGGGGUUAACCGUUGGAAACGACGAAUAGUACCCUAUUACACUAUCACUUCGCAUUGAGCGAUAGUCAAAGUGUUAGCGGUGUAAGAUGGACGUGCGUCUGAUUAGCUAGUUGGUGAGAAAAAAGCCCACGAAGGCAACGAUCAGUAGCCGGCUUGAGGGGGCGCAGGGCAGCAUCGGAACGGAGGCACGGCCGAGACUUAUACGGGAGGCAGCAGAAGGGAAUUGUGCACAAUGGGCGAGACCCAGAGGCAGCGACGCCGUGUGAUCUAGAAGGACUUCGGGUUGUAAACCUGUUCUGUAUAGGAAGAAAAUGACAGUACUAGACGAAUAAGCGCCGGCUAAUUACGUG
RNAcentral lists this ribosomal RNA (477 nucleotides) under uncultured bacterium. RNAcentral describes it as "partial 16S ribosomal RNA". It matches the Rfam family "Bacterial small subunit ribosomal RNA", at positions 28 to 507 of the family's 1533-position model. The record is from RNAcentral.